This 6425-nucleotide long non-coding RNA is filed under the name Octopus vulgaris (common octopus). The record is from RNAcentral. Lineage: Eukaryota; Metazoa; Mollusca; Cephalopoda; Octopoda; Octopodidae.
CCUCAAUCGUUAAUAAAAUUAGAAACAAUGAUGUGGAAGGAUUGAAAAUCUUACUUGAGGAGGAGCCAGGCCAAGUAAGUUGUUCUGUUUAUUGCUUUCUCAAAUUUGCCUAUUUCUUUAUUAUUUUAUACGCAAUUUGAAAACUUCAAACUAACUGCAUAUAUUUCUCCAUAAUAUUUCAUUUCUUUCUCCAUCUCUUUCCUCUAAUCGCCAUUAAUAUUAUAAUAAAAGUAUUGACCAAGGCAGCGAGAUGGCAGAAGCGUUAGCACGCCAGGUGAAAUGUUUAGCAGUAUUUCGUCUGUGUUUACGUUCUGAGGUCAAAUUCCGCCGAGGUCGACUUUUCUUGUCAUCCUUUCUAGGUCGAAAUAUUAAGUACUAGUUGCCUACUGCGGUCGGUCUAAUCGACUGGCCCCCUCCCCCAAAAUGUCAGGCCUUGUGCCUUGAGUAGAAAAGAAUAUUAUUCUUGACCAAAUUUUGAGCAUGGCAAAGUAGAUGGAAUGUGAAUGAGAGAGAAACCCAUCAUCACACACUGCAAGGGAGUAUUCUGAUAUGAAAUUUUCAGAUAAGAUGAGAAACAGAUGGAGUCCGUAGAUAAAUGGUGACUUUUUAAAGAAGUCCUCUUGCCAUACAUAGACGAAGGUUUUACUGAAGUGAAGGGCUACACCAUUUUAUGCAGAUUUUGUCAAACAUAUGAAAACACUGGUGUGUCACACAGGUACCAAGCCCCUCUUGAUCUGGCUUUAUAAAAUUGUACUGGUGAGCAUUGAAUAAUGAAAGAUACCUAAAGGGACAAAUAUGAUGGUUGUUUGUGACUUUUUACUUCAUAAUUGAAACAUUGGAAGUUAGAAUGACUGGAUGGUAGUCACUCGAUAAGAUAUUGUCUGCAGGAAUAUUGAGCAGGAUUUCCCAGUGAGGUCAGUACUACCCAUGUGUCGGGGCGCUGUGGGAAAAUAGCAUAUGAGGUUAUGUAUAUAUGAAACACAAAGAAUGUGUACCUGAGUUUAACUGAAGCUAUGUAUCAACGGUUGGAUCAGUAAAGAAAACUAAGUGGUGAAGCAUCAAGUAUUCACUUAUUCUGGUGAAGGUUCUGUGGUAAGUAGUCACCCAUGUCAAGACUAGGAUCGAGAGGGAAAUUAUUCUAAUCUAGUAUUAAUUGAAACGACAUUAAUUAUGUGUUAUAUAGAGUCGUAGCAAGGAAAGGGACAUUGAGAAUUCCUUGGUAAAUGAAAAGAAACCAUAUUUAAAAGGUUUGAGAAUCCCUAGUAUAGGACCAUCAUGGUUAUGAAGCAGUUAGUAGGAUGAUUCUGUUAAAUUUAUUGAGAUUCUGUUGGUAGGAGACCAGAAAUCUUGGUUUUAAAUUAGGAGUGAAGAGAGCUGACAGAUGGUGAAAUGCAGAAAGAAGCAUCCUUUAUUUUCUUGAUGACCAUCAUACCUGUAAUUCAAUGGUGGGUGUAUGUCUGCCACUUUGUGAUGGUAGGUGUUUUCCUCCACAUGAUGUUGAUAUUGUCUAAACAGAUGUAAUACAGUUGUGUAUGAACAACUCACACCUUUUAACAUUUUGUAUGGCUACAAAGUACUAACGAAGCACUUAAUUUAAAAUGAAGCACUGCCUUAUUUAUGUUUUUAUUCCCCCAUCGUUUCCUUUCAUUUGUAUCCACUUUUUCACAUUUUGAACAUAUUCAACAGAAGUUGGUGUCAUCCAGAAGUUCCCACAGAUAUCUAGUCUCAAAUAAUUACUUUGUAUUAGAUUCAGUGACAAACAAAAAGUGGUUUUCUUUCUCUUCAUUGAGCUUAUGCAUGAAUUGAACCAUCUUCCUAAGCAUUUCGGGGAGCAUGGUAAUCAGGGAGGGCAAUAAGGUAACAAACAAAAUCAGGCUCCAAGUGCUAGGAGUAUUCCAUCAAUAGAGGUAAAUCCUAGUAAAUGCCUUGUAAAGAUGUUUGACAAGUCGCUGUCAGAGAGAAGCAAUGUCACCAAAAUUGUAAAGCAAGCAGAGGAGUGGCGGAUGAGGAUUGAUAGAUCAGGGCUUCCAGGAAAGUUUAGGGCAUGGCUCUACCAACACAGAAUGCUCCCAAGACUCAUAUGGUUGCUGACGCUGUAUGACGUUCCAAGUGUGGAAAGGGUGGAGAGAAAGAUAACUAAAUACCUCCGAAGAUUGCUAGGAGUUUCCCAAGCUUCACUUCAGUAGGCCUGUCCAUAAGUUCUGGAAGGCUAAAACUUCCCCUGUCGUAUUUAAUGGAGGAAUUUAAAGUAGCAAAAUGUAAUGUAAUGAUGUACAGAGUGUCUAAGGACGAGCUUGUCAGACAUGCAGGUAUUACCACAAGGUGUGGGUAACUAGCACUGCUGUCGCUCCGGCUGAAGGCAUGCUGGAGCUACGCGCCAUAAUUGGAGCUACAUGUUGGUGUCGCCAGGGACUUGGCUCUUUCUAUUUCCAAAAAUGGAAGAAAGCAGACACCAGGAAGAGGCGGGCUAUGACCGAGACAGCGGUUCGGUACCAGGAGGAAGAUAAAAGGAAAUCAAGAGCUGUGGAGUUGAUAUCUCUGAGUGCAUGGACUAAAUGGGAUCUCCCUGAGAGAAAGCUCACAUGGACUGACCUGUGGAGGCUGGAGCCUUUGCACAUCUCCUUCCUUCCUGGAGCGAUGUAUGACACACUCCCGACGCCAACAAACCUGUACAAAUAGGGUUUGAGGGAAGACCAGCUGUGUAGACUUUGUGGGAAAGGGGCACUCUGGCACACAUCCUGGUAGGGUGCAGAAUAACACUUUCUCAGGGCAGAUACAAAUACUUGCUCACACCCUGGAGCAGUAAAGGUGUGAGAAACAUCAUCACCAAGGGAAGAUAACUGCCGCAAUUAAGUUCGUGAAAGAGGGACAGAAACCAGUAAAGCCAGCAAAAGCAAUACACAGCUUGCUGCAAGGGUCUCAACCAUGGGAUAUGAAGGUAGACUUAGGGAAAAGAUUGCAGUUUCCCCAGGUUAUCCAUACAACACUGAGGACUGAUGUGGUUCUGUGGCCUGAAAAGGCCCAGAAAAUUAUCAUAAUUCAACGAACAGUCACGUAGGGAGCGGGUUAUAACAAGGCCCAUGAACGGAAGUGUGACAGAUAUAAGAGCUUUCUGCAGGCUCCAUUCGCUUUGGUGAAUAAAUAAAACACAUCCUUACAGGUGUUAUUAACUCGUAUAUAUAUGUGUGUGUGUGUGUGUGUGUGUUUGUGUGUGUAUGUAUGCUUGUGUAUCUAUGCUAGAGUGUGUCCCUAACUGGUAAUUGAUAAGCGGUGUUGGUGUAUUUGCAUCCCUGUUACUUAGCCCUGAAGCAAAAGAGAGCUAUAGGUUGGUGCUAAAUAAACAGGAAAGGUACCACACAUAAAAGACAAAACCGAGGAGGAACCCCAGCAUGGCCGAAGUCUCAUGACUGAAACAAGUACAAGAGAGAAAGAAAAAGAAAGAGAAAAAAGAAGAGAGGAAUAGAAAAAUAGAAGAAAGAAAAGGAAAAUUGAGAGAGAAUUAUAGAGAAGACAAAAAGAGAAACGAAACAGAGAAAGAGGGAGAGAAAAGAUAAAGAGAAUGAGAUUGAAAAAAGAAAAACAAGAGAGGAAAGAAAGAGAGAGAGAAAAAGGAACGAGAGAAAGAAAGAGAGAAAUGAAAGAGUGAGAGAGAGGAAGAAGGAUAAAAAUAAAACGAGAGGGAGAAAGAAGGAGAAAAAAUGAGAGAGCGAGAAAAGAAAGAGAGAGAAAAAGAAACGAGAGGAAGAAAGAGAGAAAUGAAAGAGUGAGAGAGAGGAAGAAGGAUAAAAAGAAAACGAGAGGGAGAAAGAAGGAGAAAAAAGCGAGAGAGCGAGAAAAGAAAGAGAGAGAAAAAGAAACAAGAGGAAGAAAGAGAGAAUUGAAAGAGUGAGAUAAAAAGAAAACGAGAGGGAGAAAGAAGGAGAAAAAAGCGAGAAGCGAGAAAAGAAAGAGAGAAAGAAAAAGAAACGAGAGGAAGAAAUAGAGAAAUGAAAGAGUGAGAGAGAGGAAGAAGGAUAAAAAGAAAACGAGAGGGAGAAAGAAGGAGAAAAAAGCGAGAAGCGAGAAAAGAAAGAGAGAAAGAAAAAGAAACGAGAGGAAGAAAGAGAGAAAUGAAAGAGUGAGAGAGAGGAAGAAGGAUAAAAAGAAAACGAGAGGGAGAAAGAAGGAGAAAAAAGCGAGAAGCGAGAAAAGAAAGAGAGAAAGAAAAAGAAACGAGAGGAAGAAAGAGAGAAAUGAAAGAGUGAGAGAGAGGAAGAAGGAUAAAAAGAAAACGAGAGGGAGGGAGAAGGAGAUAAAAGCGAGAGAUCGAGAAAAGAAAGAGAGAGAAAAAGAAACGAGAGGAAGAGAGAGAGAAAUAAGUGUGAGAGAGAGGAAGAAGGAUAAAAAGAAAACGAGAGGGAGAAAGAAGGAGAAAAAAGCGAGAGAGCGAGAAAAGAAAGAGAGAGAAAAUGAAACGAGAGGAAGGAAGAGAGAAAUGAAAGAGUGAGAGAGAGGAAGAAGGAUAAAAAGAAAAGGAGAGGGAGAAAGAAAGAGAAAAUGUGAGAGAGCGAGGAAAGAAAGAGAGAGAAAAAGAAAGGAGAGGAAGAAAGUGAGAAAUGAAUGAGUGAGAGAGAGGAAGAAGGAUGAAAAAGAAAACGAGAGGGAGAAAGAAGGAGAAAAAAGCGAGAGAGCGAGAAAAGAAAGAGAGAGAAAAGAAACGAGAACAAGAAAGAGAGAGAGAAUGAAGAAAUGUGAGAGUAAGAGAGAACAGACAAAGAAAACGAGCGAAAGAGAGAAAAGAAAGAGAUAGAGAGAGAAAGGAAACAGAGAUGGAAAGAGGGGAAUAUAGGAAAGAAAAUAGAGUGGGAAAUAGAGAGAGAGGAAGAAAGAUAGAAAAUAGAGGGAGGGGAAGGGAAGGGAGAGAAAGAGAAAACAAAGGGUAAGAGACAUAGAGAGAGAAAGAUAGAAAAGCAAAUGUGAGAGAAUGAAUGAAGAAGUGAGAGGAAAGGGAGAGAGAAAGGACAUCAAAGAAAGAGAGACAACUAAAAGAGAAAGAGGGUGAAUGAGAGAAAAGGCAACGAGAAGCACAGAAAGAAAGAGAGAGAAAGAGAUAAAAGUAAAAGAGAAAGAGAGAAGAAAAAAAAAGUUUGGGUGAAAGAGAGAAAAGAAGAAGUGAAGGAGAUAGAGAGAGAAAGAAAGAGAGGAAAGUAAUAGAGAGAGAGAGAUAAAGAAAGAGAAAUGGAAAAAGAGAGAAAGAGAAAGAAAAAGAGAGAAACAGAGAAAAGUAAAAUGGAAAAAGAGAGAAACGAAUGAGAGAGAGGGAAAUAGAGGAAGAAGAGAGAGGGAGAAAGAAAGAGAGAGAAGAAAAAGGGAAAGAGAAAGAAAUGAAAGCGAGAGAGAUACGGAGAGAGAAAGAGAGAAAUUGAGAAAUAGAGAAAGAGAAAGAUAAGAGAAAAAAGAAAAAGAGAAAGAGGAAGGAAACGAGAGAGAAAGAGAGGAGAGGAAAAUGGGAAAGAGAGAAAAGAAGAGAGAGGGAGAGAGAAAGAGAAAUAAAGACAGAGAAGGAGAAGGGAAAGAGAGGGAAAGUGAGAAAAGAAAGAGAAUGAAAGAAAUGAAAGAGGCGGAUAGAGAGAGAAAGAAGGAGAGAAAGAGGAAAGAAAACGAGAAAGAGAGUGAGAGACAAAGAGAGAACAGAGAGAGAGAGAGAGUAAAAGAGACACGGAGAGAGGAGAAAGAAAGAGAGAAAGAAAAAGGGGAAAGAGAGAGAAAGUGAGAAAUGAAAGAGAAGGAUAGAAAUGAAAGAGGGAGAUAGAGAGAGAAAGAAGGAGAGAAAGAGAGUGAGAGACAAAGAGACAAAAGAGAGAGAGAGUAAAAGUGACACGGAAAGAGGAGAAAGAAAGAGAGAGAGAAAAAGGGUAAAGAGAGAGAAUGUGAGAAAAGAAAGAGAAGGAUAGAAAUGAAAGAGGGAGAUAGAGAGAGAAAGAAGGAGAGAAAGAGGAAAGAAAACGAGAAAGAGAGUGAGAGACAAAGAGAGAACAGUGAGAGAGAGAGUAAAAGAGACACGGAGAGAGGAGAAAGAAAGAAAGAGAGAGAAAAAGGGGAAAGAGAGAGAAAGUGAGAAAAGAAAGAGAAGGAGAGAAAUGAAAGAGGGAGAUAGAGAGAGAAUGAAGGAGAGAAAGAGGAAAGAAAACGAGAAAGAGAGUGAGAGACAAAGAGAGAAAAGAGAGAGAGAGAGAGAGAGAGAGAGAAAAUGGAAUUUCUCUAUUUCACAUGUCCUCACUUUCUUCAUUACAGAUUAAUAAACCUAUUGAUGGAGAUGGACGAACUCCUUUAAUGUUUGCCUGUUAUAAGGGCGCCGAUAGAAGAAUCAUCGACAUUUUGAUAAAAGCUGGUGCGAAGUUAGGAGCGAAAAACAGAUGGGGUGAGACAGCUUUGCAUUUGGCUGU